Molecule: transfer RNA, 74 nt
Filed under: Armatimonadota bacterium
Lineage: Bacteria; Bacillati; Armatimonadota
Description: Armatimonadetes bacterium (activated sludge metagenome) tRNA-Ile
Rfam family: tRNA
About the family: Transfer RNA (tRNA) molecules are approximately 80 nucleotides in length. Their secondary structure includes four short double-helical elements and three loops (D, anti-codon, and T loops).
Source: RNAcentral
GGGCCUAUAGCUCAGUUGGUUAGNNACCCCUGAUAAGGGUGAGGUCACUGGUUCGAAUCCAGUUAGGCCCACCA